This is a long non-coding RNA of Pan troglodytes (chimpanzee), 4728 nucleotides long. RefSeq lists it as uncharacterized. NCBI's taxonomy places the organism in Eukaryota, Metazoa, Chordata, Mammalia, Primates, Hominidae. The record is from RefSeq and is a predicted model, not a curated record. The transcript has 3 exons.
UGAUUACUUUUGCACCAACCUGAUAGAAUAUCCCAGUUGGGCAAUCUCGAAUGACGCAAGAUGAGCGUCAUCAUCAUCAUUGCUGCCAACCCAUCUGGUGAGGAGCUGGGAGAGAGCGUGGAAACACUGAGCCGGCGGCUCCAUCGUUACAACGCCGCAGGCAAACAAGGGGAAUUCUGGGAGAGAGCGUGGAAACACUGAGCCGACUGCUCCAUCGUUACAACGCCGCAGGCAAACAAGGGGAAUUCUGGGAGAGAGCGUGGAAACACUGAGCCGGCGGCUCCAUCGUUACAACGCCGCAGGCAAACAAGGGGAAUUCUGGGAGAGAGCGUGGAAACACUGAGCCGGCGGCUCCAUCGUUACAACGCCGCAGGCAAACAAGGGGAAUUCUGGGAGAGAGCGUGGAAACACUGAGCCGGCGGCUCCAUCGUUACAACGCCGCAGGCAAACAAGGGGAAUUCUGUGGCUCCAGUGUGAUACGUCCACAGGAACGCACAUGGGACCAAGAAGGGAAAGAAGAUACCACGUAUGUGCAGUCACUCAAUUCAGAGUGUGGAAAAUGCUACAGGCUAUCUCUGGAGGGUCUUGAAGAAAGAAGAAAUUCUGUAUUAUCCAAACAGAUGGUUAUGAGGAUCUACUUUCAACCUUCCACGUUAUGUGCUGUGAAUCAAGUCUUCACCCUACCAUUUAUCCAUUGUCUCCAAGAGCUUUUGAUAUAUAAGGAAAUAGGGAAGCCCUACAUAUGGAAAAGUGUAAGGAUUGUAGUGGUGAGAUGUGUGUUCCAGACUCUCUGGAUUCAAAUCCCAGCUCUGCUACUCAUAAGUAAGUGACUUAAUUGCAUUCACUUUCUCAUUGGUAACAUCGGGACAAUAAUAGGUCCUUACUGCCAGGGCUGCUAUGAGGAUUAUAAGCAACACGCAAAAGGCAUUUGGAACUAGACCCUGCUUGUGUCAAGAAGGCUAUAAAUACAAGGGAUUUGGGUGCAGGGAAGUUAGGAGAGAACAGGGAAGGCUCAUCAAGAGAGAACAGGGCAAGACUCACUGAUGUGUUAUUUUCAUUCUGCAAAAAAUUUUAACAAGUGAUUACACAGCAGGAGCUACAUUAAAGGCCCAGAAUUUUAAAAGAAUUAAAAAAAAUAGAUGAAGUCCUAAAAACUUCCUUGUGUAUUUGAAUAAAAUGAUAUAAACAGUUCAUUACAAGGUAAGGUACAAUGUAAUUAAUCCAGUAUCUUCAAAGCACUCUUGCAGCAAGGAGAAGGAAUCCACGUUCAAUCCACAUAAAAGUAAACGUAUGUUCCUACAGAGAAGUGAAUGUUUGAUCAUGUUCUGUAGUCCAAAUUCAGUAUCAGAACAUCCACAUUAAAAAAAGCUACAAAAUAGGCCUCAAGGGGUGGCCCCCCGGGCAGCGGUGGGUUUCUGCAGCAGGAAUAAGAUGAACAGGCUCCUGGCAAUGGAAGGGAACAUGGCCUGGCAGGGGUUUGUUCAGUCAGGUGAGGCUUCUAGGACAGCACAUGGGCAGGUGUGUGGAAGGCCCUGGGAAGGGCACAGGAGCCCCCAUGGCCCCACAUUUGGUGUCCUAGGUCCCAUCAACCCACAGACCACCUGAAGUGCCACAGUCUUUCAGUAAUUAAGCACAGUAUUCCCAGGCCUGUUUUCUGUAGGAUUUCAGCUCUGCCCUGCCUUGGUAUAAGCUCUGAUGUCAGUGUGAGUGGGGGGCAGUGCCAACCGUGGGGACGGAGCCUGAGACCUGGUAGAGCAUCCCCUGCCCAGGCCACUGAGAAGGUGCUGUUGGAUGAGAAGGAAAGUUGACGAGAAAACUAGCCCAUUUCAACUCCCAAGUGCAAAAUUAGAAAUAAACUCUCCUGAGACCAAAUACGGGGCAGCCCAUGGGGACAUUUGGAGGGCUCAGGGCUUCUACAGACAGAGGCCACCCUGGGGCCUCUGCUCGGGGCCUGUGCAGGCUGCUGAGCAGCACAGGCCACUCUAAGGGCUGCAUGGAGCUGAACGCAUCAAGUGUUCUGCAGGGCCUCGUCCGAGUGAUUUGCACUGUUCCCGGGCACUCCAGCUCAGAGCUAAGUCCCGCUUCAGAGUGCUUACCUGCAGCCAUUAAAUAAUUAUCAGUGUGCAAGCCUUUAGAGUUAGGCUGUCGUGCUUUUAUAUUCUAAACAUGCUUUCUGAGUUUUUUUUUGCAUCAAAGCAGUUGUAGGAAAUAUUAAUAUUUAUACCACCCAUGGGACACUGGGGUAUGGCUGCUUCUAGCAGGAGGUCAUCAGCCAGCCUCCCAGGAGGUUCAGCUCCCAGGCUCCGUCCAGCUGCCCAGUGGCUGAGGCUCAGCAUCUCCACUGCCUGUAACCUACUCACGGCACACUGCACCCACGGCACACAGCACCCGGGCGCCGCUCACGGCACACAGCACCCGGGCACCGCUCACGGCACACAGCACCCGGGCACCGCUCACGGCACACAGCACCUGGGCACGGCGGCUGGGAGGCUCUGACCUCUGCAGCAGACACAGAGCUCCACUUCUUAUUCUCUGUUAAUUGAUGCUGCCCUGUUUCAUUUUAAGCAUUGUUACCAGGUUCUUAAGACUAUAAAAAAUAAAAAUUAAAUAGCCCCAAACUAAACCUCACUUUAUCAACAUAAAAAGAGAUGUGUGUGUCCGGAGGAAACGGGAUCUUUUCUCUCCACCUUUCCCAUUUUUGAGUCCUCAGUGAUGUGAAAAAAAGCCGGUGUCUGUUUAGAAUACGAUAACUAGAAGCUCCGGAGUGGAGCCAGGGGUUAAUGAAAUUCCGGGAAGCCAAGGAGCCCGUGCUCAGAACGGGCAAGUGCCAUUUCUGUCUUGUUGAUAUUAGAGAAAUGGGUCGUGGGUGAACAAUGGAUCGCAAUACCCAUAAAGAAGAAUCCACGGGAGCUGCCGCGACUCUGCGGUGAGCGCUUUGCCUGUGGGACUCUUGAGGCUGGUCAGCUUUUCAGAUGCACGAGGCCUGGUGGUCCAGACAGGAAUGAUGAUGACAUCACUUUCUUCUCACCGUGUUGUCAUGCGACAGGUCACAGCGGCCACUGUUGCCCCAACUACGGGCUGUUUACAUUUCGGGGCAAUUCAGUAAGCUAAAUACUGUUAAGGUUCAAGUCCUUGUCCCUCUGAGAAUCCCAAACCUCUCCGGAACCUUCAACAAUUAAGAUUCCUACCACAGUCUGCUGCAAAGGUCAUAUUUCAUUUCUAAUAUCUUAGAAAUAACACUUUUCCCAGGGCGGGUCAAUUUAUGAUUUUAGGAGUUCUACUCCACUUUAUUAAAGAAGAGGUGGUUACUUUUUAAAGCUUGAGAUCUUUUUUUUUCUUGGAGUACAAAUUUAGGAGCUUAUUUUUCUUUAUUUGUGAAAAUUUUUUUGACUGUACAAUGCAAAUAAAACUUGGUAAAAAGUGAAAUAUAAAUCCAAGUAAAUGAGAGUUUUAGGCGUCUUAAUUACUCAUUCUGUGAGUAGUUUGACUCAUUAAAUUUAUGGGACACCCAGCAGAGGCCAGGCCAAUGACAGGUAAUAAGAUGAUGGGGAGAAUAAAAUGGGUUAGGGUUAUGGUUAGCGUUAUGGUUAGGAGAGCUCACAGAUUCAUCAGGAGUGCACAGCCCAAAAAAUUAGAUUGUUUUUCAGUAAAUUGUCUGGUUAGAGUACUACUGCGAUACAUUAGUCAAGAUUGUUACCAUCAUACAGACUUAACCUUUUCUUUCGUUUUCUAAAAUGUAUGUCCAUGUGUGAAGCUCUGGGUGAAGCAUAACGGAGGAAGGUGCAGGAGGGUGGAGCAUGGACUCCAUGAAGAGGAUCAGGGAGGGCGGGUCGGGGACUCCAUGAAGAGGAUCAGGGAGGGAGGGAGGGGGGCACCUGCACAUGUGCACUCACGCGUGGGGCAGAGACCAGCACGUGGACAACCACGAGGCAUUCCCAGAAGCAAAGAGGACAUGAAGCUCUCAUUUUCAACUCUGUAGUUAAUGUAUCUUCAAACUAAAACAAGAAAAAAUAUGCAUUUUGCAACUUUAAUUCAUAAGGCUAGAGAUUAAGGUCCCAAAACAUCCUAUCACAGUCAGAAUGACUCUUGGGAUAGGUAACUAUGACUCAGAUGUUUACUUUUGUCUAAACAUAUGCAAAAGGAAGUCAGGUUCCACAGAGUAGAAAGCACUUCCAACCUGACAGUGUCCAGGUGUGGAGAAAGCGCCCGUGGACAUAUUCUAAGAGCUCCUUAGGCAUGACCUUCAGUGCUCUCCCCUUCCCUCCAAUCACAGACAUAUGCCUUUGAGGAAUUCCAGGUCCUCCUGUCUUGAGCAUGAAACGACCAUUGAUGGCCCUUCCCUGCCACCAGCCCAUGGCAGGCACUGGCCACAGCGCUGGGAGAACUUCUCGUGUCCCCCCAAUGCCUGAGCCUUAUUGGAUCCAAAGCUGUUGUUUUUCAGUCCCUUUGAUUUAACCACCUGGGAACAGGGCUCUUGUCUCUGCCUCCUUCAGUUAUGGAGACUGUUUAUAGUGCCUGAAGGCUUUCCUCUCUGAACCUGACUUCCAGAAUGAGAGAGGACAACAAGACACUGAGGAGGCAGAAACCUGUCCAGGUCAUCCAAGAAGCCCAAAUCCCUUGUAAAUGCAUUCCUCGCAGCAAUGUCCCCAAGAAGGCCAGCAUGAACAAGACAGGACACAAAUGAAAUCACAGCGUGCAGCCUGCUCCCGGCGACAGGAGCCAUGCAUG